Triticum dicoccoides is the source of this 403-nucleotide long non-coding RNA. RefSeq lists it as uncharacterized. The record is from RefSeq and is a predicted model, not a curated record. The transcript is spliced from 2 exons. NCBI's taxonomy places the organism in Eukaryota, Viridiplantae, Streptophyta, Magnoliopsida, Poales, Poaceae.
CGUAGGAGUGAGCCGACUGUUGAAGGGUCCAAUUCAUCAAACAUAUUACAGUCCUAUCUCAGUCAAAGUUUCCAAUGAGCAUGUGAAAGUGCCUGUUCUAUGUAUGAAGCCUUACUACCUUGAUGCUUGGUGCCUCAGUCCUCACUAUGUUCACCACAAGACAAGUAACAAUCGCCUUUUAAACAACGGCCAUCCUUCACACUCGUGGAGACGCACCAAAGCUCUCUGUGGUCAAUUCCCUGCUUAAGAUCUGUGUUAAGCACUUUUGAGUCUUGUACAUAUCACCGCGACCUGUCCUGUUUUAUCUAUCUCCUUAGUAACUGCUUGUAUCCAUUGUAAAUACUCAUUCACUCACGCCACAGACUAUUACCGCUGCAAUACUAAGUUUUCUCAAGUUUAUGUC